GGGCUCUUUAUGAGUCAAUUCCCUCUGCAUUUGAACUUCUUUACUUAUUUUUACUGUCACUGAAAUUUUACAAGAUGGCUGAAAAUCCUGGGUAAACUUUAGCUGUGAUAAUAAACAUGUGGAAAAGGAUAUCAUUCACAGCACUAUAGGAGAAGGAUGUUGUCCAGAAACAGAAAGUUUAAAAGAGAAUCUGGAUAUCCUUUGUCUAGGAGACUCUGAGCUUUGUGCUUCUUCUUUGGGCCAGCAGCUCCCUGGAAGG
Molecule: long non-coding RNA, 259 nt
Organism: Choloepus didactylus (southern two-toed sloth)
Lineage: Eukaryota; Metazoa; Chordata; Mammalia; Pilosa; Megalonychidae
Exons: 3
Source: RefSeq, a predicted model, not a curated record